RNAcentral lists this transfer RNA (85 nucleotides) under Chitinispirillales bacterium. Its description in RNAcentral is "tRNA-Ser". It matches the Rfam family "tRNA". From Rfam's summary of the family: Transfer RNA (tRNA) molecules are approximately 80 nucleotides in length. Their secondary structure includes four short double-helical elements and three loops (D, anti-codon, and T loops). Further hydrogen bonds mediate the characteristic L-shaped molecular structure. tRNAs have two regions of fundamental functional importance: the anti-codon, which is responsible for specific mRNA codon recognition, and the 3' end, to which the tRNAs corresponding amino acid is attached (by aminoacyl-tRNA synthetases). tRNAs cope with the degeneracy of the genetic code in two manners: having more than one tRNA (with a specific anti-codon) for a particular amino acid; and 'wobble' base-pairing, i.e. permitting non-standard base-pairing at the 3rd anti-codon position. The record is from RNAcentral. Lineage: Bacteria; Pseudomonadati; Fibrobacterota; Chitinispirillia; Chitinispirillales.
GGAGAGGUGCUCGAGCGGUUGAAGGGGGCGGUCUCGAAAACCGUUGUACCGCAAGGUACCCAGGGUUCGAAUCCCUGCCUCUCCG